GGAAAGACAAGAUUCUGUAUACAGCGGACUUCAGGAAGUUGAUUCAAACUCCAAACUCGCAUGCAUCCAUGACUCUGCAAGACCUCUUGUACAAAUUGAAGAUGUAGAAAAGGUCCUGAAGGAUGGUUGGCUGGUUGGAGCAGCAGUUCUUGGUGUUCCUGCCAAAGCUACAAUCAAAGAGGCAAACAGUGAAUCUUUCGUUGUGAAGACUCUUGACAGGAAAACACUUUGGGAAAUGCAGACACCUCAGAUAAUCAAACCUGAGUUGCUUAAGAAGGGUUUCGAGCUUGUCAACAGGGAAGGACUUGAAGUAACAGAUGAUGUAUCAAUAGUGGAGCACCUUAAACAUCCAGUAUAUAUUACUGAAGGCUCUUACACUAACAUAAAGGUUACAACGCCUGAUGAUUUGCUUCUUGCAGAAAGAAUAUUGAAUAUUGAAGAAUCUUAGGGUUUUCAAUUUUCUUAGGCUUUUUUUUU
This 477-nucleotide unclassified non-coding RNA is filed under the name Hevea brasiliensis (rubber tree). Lineage: Eukaryota; Viridiplantae; Streptophyta; Magnoliopsida; Malpighiales; Euphorbiaceae. The record is from RNAcentral.